UCAGGUCUUAGUGGAGGUGAAGUGCCAUAUUUCCUGCAUAAGUAACCCAGCCCUCAGGUCCUCCAACACACAGAUAGAGUAGCCUCCUUUCAUUGGCCGCCCGCAUCUUUAAAACUGGUGAGAGCUGGGUUUUUAAGGAAGUGUGGCAUUCUGUGAGGAAGAGAUGAGAAGAGAACACAUUUCAGGUCUGUUGUUGUGGUCCUGACAGAAGCAAGGCUGGUGUCUAAUCCAGUACAAGGAAGUGGUCUCCUUGGCAACCAUAGCCACAGG
Phascolarctos cinereus (koala) is the source of this 270-nucleotide non-coding RNA. The record is from RefSeq and is a predicted model, not a curated record. Lineage: Eukaryota; Metazoa; Chordata; Mammalia; Diprotodontia; Phascolarctidae.